RNAcentral lists this ribosomal RNA (440 nucleotides) under uncultured bacterium. Its description in RNAcentral is "partial 16S ribosomal RNA". It matches the Rfam family "Bacterial small subunit ribosomal RNA", at positions 338 to 795 of the family's 1533-position model. The record is from RNAcentral.
CCUACGGGGGGCAGCAGUGGGGAAUAUUGCACAAUGGGGGAAACCCUGAUGCAGCGACGCCGCGUGAGUGAAGAAGUAAUUCGUUAUGUAAAGCUCUAUCAGCAGGGAAGAAAAUGACGGUACCUGAGUAAGAAGCCCCGGCUAACUACGUGCCAGCAGCGGCGGUAAUACGUAGGGGGCACGCGUUAUCCGGAUUUACUGGGUGUAAAGGGAGCGUAGACGGUGCGCCAAAUCUGGAGUGAAAUGCCGCAGCUUAACUGCGGAACUGCGUUGGAAACCGGCGAACUAGAGUGCGGGAGGGGUAAGCGGAAUUCCUAGUGUAGCGGUGAAAUGCGUAGAUAUUAGGAGGAACACCGGUGGCGAAGGCGGCUUACUGGACCGCAACUGACGCUGAUGCACGAAAGUGUGGGUAUCGAACAGGAUUAGAUACCCGAGUAGUC